RNAcentral lists this non-coding RNA (25 nucleotides) under Cricetulus griseus (Chinese hamster). Lineage: Eukaryota; Metazoa; Chordata; Mammalia; Rodentia; Cricetidae. The record is from RNAcentral.
UGACUUUAAAAAGGAGAAAGACUGU